CCUAAGGGUCAGAGAACCACAGGACCAGCCAGUGUGCUGGGUCCCCUUUGCUCAUGGCCAUCCAAGCUUCAGACAGUUAAAGGCACCUGGAGCUCCUUCAAAACCAUGGUUAUAAACUCCAUCAACGAUGAACCGCUGUGUGAGUCAGUCAUGCCAUCAGCAGGCUCAAAAAAAAAAAAAAGCAACAGCUCUAAAGAGAAGAAACUUGCAAUGCUUGUUAUUACCACGGCAAAACUCCCACUCCUUCAGUAGAGACAGGAAUGGCCAAGCCCUUGUUCAGCCUUGGCGGUAAUAUCUGCUAUCAUUUGUCAGCCUUCACAUAAUCAGAGCCAUGAUGCUGCCAUCAACAUCUCAGCUGAUGAGAAGGAGCAAAUACGUGGGAAUGAAGGAACACAGAUGUCAGGGGUUUGUGUGAGCUCCGCUCUGUCUUGGUUCAUCAGUUUGGCCAAGAAAUGUGAUGCCCCAUGUCUUAUUUCUCCUGUCUCUAAAGAGCAGCAACCCUCACCUUCCAUGCUGAAGAAGAUGUAAAGCUUAACCCACAAAUGUCCAUGAAGCGCUUCGAUGAAAAAUAACAAGGAAAUUUGAAAUGUUUGUAAUUAGCUUUCCACCCGGCUUUCUCUCUACUUCAUCCCUCCUGACAUGCAGCAGCCAGAGAUAAACCUUCUUAGUCUCCACGCUCCAGAGCGGUCUGUCUAGCACCCGUCACAAGUCCUACCUUCAGUUUUGGGGAAAGCACAAGAAACAAUGUCACCCGCUAGCUCUGAGACGUGAGCACAGGUCCUGCAACGCUUGUGCUGAAUGGCAUUACUUGGAUCAUUAACUUCUGACCUGCAACAUAGUGCAAGGCUGAUGGUGCCAAUUUUUUCAGCCUAGAUCCAAAGAAGGAUGUGGGCUUUGCAUUCUUCAUUUCUAAGGCACUGAGGCCUUCGAGAGAGACCCAGCAUCCUGGGAAGGUGCCUGGCUCUAUAUAGCACCAAAGAAAGGUCCGGCUGGGAUCGGAGGGAGCCUAUCGCAGACCUGCUUUUCUCAAUGGAAGGUCCACAGCCUGGAACGCUUUCCUGAGGAAGGAGUUAGGGGGCCUCAUAUGAAGCUAGAAGCAGCUAGCUCCAAAACAAAUGUUACAAGAUUAUUCUUCUUCCAGCUGAUAGAGGGUGGAUUUGUUGGACUCCAUGCCACAAACAUGGUGGACGCAGAAACAUUGUGUGGAUUCAAGGGGAGGUAUCUUGCUGUUGGACAGAGGCUUGUGCAAAUGCUGUUCCUCACAUCCCACCUUUGACGUCGUUAUGUUGCUGCUGGGUGUAUUUCCUCGCUGUCUGAUGUUAUCUUGAAUUUGAGCAGAAAGUCCAGAAGAAUUCAAGGAGAGAAGUGUUAAUUCUCCACCACACAUAGGGAGAGAUAUGGAAGUGACUCUCCUAGGCACCUCUGUCUCAUUUGAUGCUCAGGAAAAGAAAAAGGAAAGUAAAACAAAGGUUUUUUGCACAUGGACUUUCUCAUUGCCUUGCUGCUUCUCCUAAGUCUUCCUCUCUGAAGCAGUGAAAAGGGAAGGUGACUCAGUCUUCUACUCUCUCUGAAUAAAAUAAAAUAAAAUAAAAUAAAAUAAAAUAAUCUGGUCUCUGAAGGCAGUUUUACAC
This is a long non-coding RNA of Aquila chrysaetos chrysaetos, 1631 nucleotides long. RefSeq lists it as uncharacterized. NCBI's taxonomy places the organism in Eukaryota, Metazoa, Chordata, Aves, Accipitriformes, Accipitridae. The transcript has 7 exons. The record is from RefSeq and is a predicted model, not a curated record.